RNAcentral lists this ribosomal RNA (305 nucleotides) under uncultured bacterium. RNAcentral describes it as "bacterial SSU rRNA". It matches the Rfam family "Bacterial small subunit ribosomal RNA", at positions 333 to 655 of the family's 1533-position model. The record is from RNAcentral.
GUCCUCCUCCUUGUGUCAUCAUUUUUUUAUAUUGCACAAUGGGUUAAACCCUUAUGCAUCGACGCCGCGUGUGUGAAGAAGCGCCUCGGCGCGUAAAGCCCUGUCAGCAGGGAAGAAAAUGACGGUACCUGAAGAAGAAGCCCCGGCUAACUACGUGCCAGCAGCCGCGGUAAUACGUAGGGGGCAAGCGUUAUCCGGAUUUACUGGGUGUAAAGGGGGCGCAGACGGCGAUGCAAGCCAGGAGUGGAAGCCCGGGGCCCAACCCCGGGACUGCUCUUGGAACUGCGUGGCUAGAGUGCAGGAGG